CUACAUAGAAGGGCACACAUUUCAAACCUCAGGACCAUGCAUCGGCUCUAAAUUAAGUAACAAGAGCAGGAAAAACACAAGGAGCUAGAUGUGGGAGCAUACAGAAGACAAAAGACAUAUUAUUUCAUUCCUGACAGUCAAUUCAAUAUAUGUCUCCUCAGGAGCCAGUUCUAUUGAGUUCAAUGGAAUUUACUCCCAGCUCACCCAGUGGCACCUGAAAGCUGAGAUGAAGCAACUUACAGUGAAGACUCCCUGGGCACUGGUUGAAAGGAUAAGAAUUACCUAUGAAACCAACACCCUCUUCUAUGAUUUACGGGACCACUUUGUUCUGUUUAGUCUGAGACUGUAUAUCCACAUAUACAUUUUCCUACCAGCAACAAGGAGCACCUCGAUGUUCUUAAAUGAUUAUUUAUUCUGAUAAACAUUUUAAGAACUA
This is a non-coding RNA of Pantherophis guttatus, 436 nucleotides long. The record is from RefSeq and is a predicted model, not a curated record. Lineage: Eukaryota; Metazoa; Chordata; Lepidosauria; Squamata; Colubridae.